Molecule: ribosomal RNA, 497 nt
Filed under: uncultured bacterium
Lineage: Bacteria
Description: partial 16S ribosomal RNA
Rfam family: Bacterial small subunit ribosomal RNA
Source: RNAcentral
GAUGAACGCUGGCGGCGUGCCUAAUACAUGCGAGUCGAGCGAACAGACGAGGAGCUUGCUCCUCUGACGUUAGCGGCGGACGGGUGAGUAACACGUGGAUAACCUACCUAUAAGACUGGGAUAACUUCGGGAAACCGGAGCUAAUACCGGAUAAUAUAUUGAACCGCAUGGUUCAAUAGUGAAAGACGGUUUUGCUGUCACUUAUAGAUGGAUCCGCGCCGCAUUAGCUAGUUGGUAAGGUAACGGCUUACCAAGGCAACGAUGCGUUGCCGACCUGAGAGGGUGAUCGGCCACACUGGAACUGAGACACGGUCCAGACUCCUACGGGAGGCAGCAGUAGGGAAUCUUCCGCAAUGGGCGAAAGCCUGACGGAGCAACGCCGCGUGAGUGAUGAAGGUCUUCGGAUCGUAAAUCUCUGUUAUUAGGGAAGAACAAAUGUGUAAGUAACUAUGCACGCCUUGACGGUACCUAAUCAGAAAGCCACGGCUAACUACGUG